UACAGAGGUCUCAAGCGUUGUUCGGAUUCAUUGGGCGUAAAGGGUGCGUAGGUGGCGUGGUAAGUCGGGUGUGAAAUUUCGGAGCUUAACUCCGAAACUGCAUUCGAUACUGCCGUGCUUGAGGACUGGAGAGGAGACUGGAAUUUACGGUGUAGCAGUGAAAUGCGUAGAGAUCGUAAGGAAGACCAGUGGCGAAGGCGGGUCUCUGGACAGCUCCUGACACUGAGGCACGAAGGCCAGGGGAGCAAACGGG
This 253-nucleotide ribosomal RNA is filed under the name uncultured bacterium. RNAcentral describes it as "partial 16S ribosomal RNA". It matches the Rfam family "Bacterial small subunit ribosomal RNA", at positions 524 to 776 of the family's 1533-position model. The record is from RNAcentral.